RNAcentral lists this long non-coding RNA (402 nucleotides) under Pan troglodytes (chimpanzee). Its description in RNAcentral is "long non-coding RNA NONPTRT001887". Lineage: Eukaryota; Metazoa; Chordata; Mammalia; Primates; Hominidae. The record is from RNAcentral.
CUGGGAGGCUGUGGGCUGAUGGAUGUCCUGGGCUCGAGUCCCAGCCCUGGCCCUGUUGGGGGCCGAACAAGCCUGGACUGACAGGCUUGGGCUCUCCUCUCUUCACCUGCCAUGACUCCUGCUGCCAGGGACACCAAGACUCAUCUCCUGCUCUACCCUCGCUCCUGCCGGGAUGAUGGGCACCUCUCCUUCCCUCAGACUUUUCAAGCUCAUGCCAGGCCAGGUGAAGAAAUGAGCCAUAGAAAAGGACUUGCCCAAGAUCACACAGCAGGCAGAGCCGGGACAUGAAACUAAGCAUUCUGGCUCCAGAGUCCACGUUUUUAACGCAACGGAAUACUCAGCAAUGGCUGAGUCUACGCCCUGUCGUCCCCUCCUGGGUCUCACAGAAUGGAAAUAAAUGUC